This 2227-nucleotide long non-coding RNA is filed under the name Equus caballus (horse). RNAcentral describes it as "lncRNA (ENSECAG00000053739.1)". Lineage: Eukaryota; Metazoa; Chordata; Mammalia; Perissodactyla; Equidae. The record is from RNAcentral.
UUUUAAAUUUCCAAUCUGAUAAUUCCAACAUCUCUGCUAUAUCUGAGUCUGGUUCUGAUGCUUGGUUUGUUUCUUUAGACUGUGUUUUUCACCUUCUGCCAUGCUUCAGACAUUGUUGUUGAAAGACGUGAUGUAUUGGGUAAAAGGAACUCAAGUAAAUAGGUCUUUUGUGUGAGGUUUUAGGUUUAUUUGAUUUUGUGUUAGGCUGUAUUUACUGUUUGCCAUAGUAUUAGUGUCAGACGCUAACAUUUCUUCAGGUAUCCUUGUUUCUCUCUCCUCUGUUGUAUUAUUUAGGUUUUCCUGGAGUGUCAAAUAGAAUCUGAGCCUUGGAAUUCUUUUCAGCUGCAAUGCCCUGUUAUUAUUCAGAAGCCCUGUUGAUGUGGUGGACGCCUGCCACAGCAUGGCUUGCCAAGUGGUGCCAUUUCCGCACCCGAGAUCCGAACCGGCAAACCCCAGGCCUCCGAAGUGGAACAUGUGAAAUUUACCGCUGUGCCACCGGGCCGGCCCUAAAACACUUACUUAAGGAGUCAGAAUUUGCAUUGAAAAGGUGCUGUUUUUCAAGCUGCUCUGACAAUGUUCUUCCCAAGAAUCAAGAGAAGCUGGACACCAAUUUUAGUCUUUGUAUACUAAAAUCACUUUAUCACAGUUUGGUGACUUGGAUGGGAUAAAACUUAACUGGCUGGAUACUGCCCAUUCCUGGACUACUGCAGCUGAAAGGUCCUGGACCCCUUGCAAAGAGCCCACAGGAAUUAAGUGUUCUUACCAUGUCAGUCUCCUGGAUCUCUGCCUGCAGUGUCCAAAGGAAGCGAGAAUGUCAUUGAGAACAGAACCUGUCCUUUUUCCUGAGGCCUUGCAAACUGAAGCUGGACAACUUGACAUUAACUUUAGAGAGACUCAUGUCUGUUGCUGUGUAAGCCACUCAGAAAGAUAUCUGAACACAUAAUGACAUCAUCAGGGACAUGUCAAGCUGCAAAAGAUGCUUCAACUGUGACAUCUAAAAAUCUUCUUAACUGGCUGUCUUCUGGGCUCAGAAACUGGUUUAUAAUUUGAUCCAGCCAUUAACCUUGGUUUUCUUUUUCUGUUUCCAGAAAAAUACUUCUUAUUAAAUACCUGAUGCUUGCUUCCACAAUAUAGGUCUAGCUUUUGGAGCCCACCUGCAUUACUACCUUCUAAAAUGAAUUUAAAUGGACUUAUCUAUUAUCAAGACUAAGAAAUAUGUUCAGUGAGAUGGAACAAUCUGCCAACUCAGCUUUUGGACUAUGAAGCUUCUUAAAGUCUAAUGGACUGUGCAACUUCUUAAAGUUUCAAAGAUGGGACUGUGGGGGAUCAAAAUUGGCCACCCCAAAAUGUGUCUCUUUGUCUUUAAAGAACAAAAGACUCUGAAAGAAACUUGACCUCUGCCCUCAACUACCCAAAAUGAUUUAAGAUAAUAAGCCUGUCCCCAGGACAGGACAUCACCAUAGAUAACUCUCAGUAUCAGUAGACUGUGAGGGUCCUUGCUAAGCCCAUUCUUAUCUACCAAACAUUUACUUUUCUGCUUCCAUGUGAAUUGCCUCCCUCCCCUUUGAAGUCCCAAACCACUGACCCCAACACCCUCCUUUGUCUUUACCUGAAGAUGCUAUUUAAGAUGACAACGUCUGCCAUUUUGUUGAGUUACUCAGUUUUCCUGGGUCUCUCCCAUGUAUACAUGUUAUAAAGCUUUGUUUGAUUUUUCUCCUGUUAUUCUGUUUCAUGCCAAUUUACUUUGUAGCCCAGCCAGAAGGACCCAGAGGGUAGAGGAUUUGUCUUCCUCCCCUACAAUAGUUACCUUUGAUGUUUUCCUUUCCUUUAUCUUUUAAGUCAUAAUUAAGUAUUUGCUACCCUGCUCUGAAAGAAAGCUGGUUUUCUGACUUUGUCUCUCAUUUAUCUCCUUGCUCAAAGUUUUGUAACCUUUGCCUUUUUGUUUCAGGUGUGAGGGUGUCCUUGAUCAUUUCUUGUAGGGGAGGUCUAGUGGCAGUGAAAUCCCUCUACUUUUGUUUAUCUUGGAAAGCUUUUACUUCUCCAUUAUAUCUGAAGGACAGUUUCACUGUGUAUAAUAUUCUUGGCUGAAAGCUUUUGUCUUUCCAAUUUUUAAUAUAUUAUUCCAUUCUUUCCUAGCCUGUAAGAUUUCUGCUGAGAAAUCUGCUGAAAGCCUGAUAGGGGUUCCUCUGUAGAUUAUUUUCUUCUGCCUUGCUGCCCUUAAUAUUUU